GCUCGGUUCGCAGCAGCUCAGCUCGGACUGCGUCUUUGGCCGUCGCAUCAGCGGUCGAACUUGACUACGAUAUUGGCAAAUUGGCCACCAAAUCUGUUCAAUGACGGAGAGUUUAUUGUCCUGCGUGGAUAAAAUACUGGGUUCCUGAUUUCGGGAUUAAAGAGAGGAUUGAUCAUAUCCUUUUAGCUCUGGUGGCUGCUGAGCGUGUCCUCGUUCUGAAUACUGUGAGAUCCAAGCUGCUUUUCGUAGUUACUACUACAGAUGAUGCCAAAGAUUCUGUAAAGGAGGAAAUUCGCUUGAGGAUGAGUCUCAGGACCAUAUAAAGAGGUAGCAGCUUCAUGAACUAGCCAUGCUGAACUCAAAUUUUAGAGAAGAGAGUCCAGGACCAAGUGGCAACAUGUCACCUCUCAAUACUAGUGGAAUGAAACGUCCCAA
Non-coding RNA from Coffea arabica (coffee), 435 nucleotides. The record is from RefSeq and is a predicted model, not a curated record. NCBI's taxonomy places the organism in Eukaryota, Viridiplantae, Streptophyta, Magnoliopsida, Gentianales, Rubiaceae.